This 450-nucleotide ribosomal RNA is filed under the name uncultured bacterium. RNAcentral's name for it is "partial 16S ribosomal RNA". It matches the Rfam family "Bacterial small subunit ribosomal RNA", at positions 338 to 795 of the family's 1533-position model. The record is from RNAcentral.
CCUACGGGGGGCUGCAGUGGGGAAUUUUGGACAAUGGGGGCAACCCUGAUCCAGCCAUGCCGCGUGCGGGAAGAAGGCCUUCGGGUUGUAAACCGCUUUUGUCAGGGAAGAAAUCUUCCGAGCUAAUACCUUGGGAGGAUGACGGUACCUGAAGAAUAAGCACCGGCUAACUACGUGCCAGCAGCCGCGGUAAUACGUAGGGUGCAAGCGUGAAUCGGAAUUACUGGGGGCGAUUGGGGCGCAGAGGGUUUAAGUCCCCGGGAUGAACCUGGGAACUGCACUUGUGACUGUACGGCUGGAGUACGGCAGAGGGGGAUGGAAUGCCGCGUGUAGCAGUGAAAUGCGUAGAUAUGCGGAGGAACACCGAUGGCGAAGGCAGUCCCCUGGGCCUGUACUGACGCUCAUGCACGAAAGCGUGGGGAGCAAACAGGAUUAGAUACCCCGGUAGUC